UAUGUCCUACAUGUGAGAUCUAUCCAUAAUUGAUAAAUCUAAAGUUUGGUUUAUCACAUUACAAUUAGGUGAUAUAACUCUUGUAUCUUAUCUAGGAUACAACAAGACAAUUUUCAAUUCAUAACACUACUUUAAGGAAAUAGUAUAUUAAAAGGGCAUACUUCACAUUACAUUAAUAUGAUAGUUCAAACAUUCAUAAUGUUUAAUACAAAAGGUAUUAGCUCUAUACAUUUAGAGACUAAUAUAAAUGCCUUUAUACAUUUAGGCACUAAUAGUGGCCUUCCAUCAAAUGAAGCCAUAUAAUUAGUUCUUAACAAAAUAAGAAAGUUUAAAGACAAUCUUUAAAUGCCUAACAAAACUUCCUAAGUAGUUAGCAAAAAACAUAGUGGCCGAACCCUUCACCACAUUUUCUUGCUUGUUCUUCUUCUACUUGGCUCCUCCACCUAUAUACAAUUAUACAAGUGAUUAGCCCUUUAUAUCAAAUAUAAAUAUUUAGAAGAUCUAACAAUUAGAAUUGAAGAUAAGAACACAAACCAUACCUUGUGGCUUGUCCUUAAGAGUUGCAAGGUAUAACCUGCAAUUCCUCUUCCAAUGCCCCUCAUUUCCACAGUGGUGGCAAGUCCCUUUGGGCUCCAUUGCCUUCUUUUUCGUCACUCCUCCUUUCGGCUUAGGAGUGGGGGACUUCUUCUCCUUCCCUUUGCCUUUGCCUUGCGGCUUGGCCUUGGAAGAGGAUGGCUUAUUGUAGGCUACUGCAGCAGUCCCUACAACGUUCUCUUUCUUCAUAGUCUUCUCGGCAGUUACUAACAUAUUUAGUAACUCGGAGAGAGUACUAUCCAUCUUAUUCAUAUUGUAGUUCAUUACGAACUGCGCAAAUGAAUCAGAAAGAGAAGCCAAUACGAAGUCCUGGGCCAAUUCCCCGUCAAGUGGAGUACCAAGGUUCU
Molecule: long non-coding RNA, 941 nt
Filed under: Malus domestica (apple)
Lineage: Eukaryota; Viridiplantae; Streptophyta; Magnoliopsida; Rosales; Rosaceae
Description: long non-coding RNA (MDOM_LNC017522)
Source: RNAcentral